This 85-nucleotide transfer RNA is filed under the name Felis catus (domestic cat). It matches the Rfam family "tRNA". From Rfam's summary of the family: Transfer RNA (tRNA) molecules are approximately 80 nucleotides in length. Their secondary structure includes four short double-helical elements and three loops (D, anti-codon, and T loops). The record is from Rfam by way of RNAcentral. Lineage: Eukaryota; Metazoa; Chordata; Mammalia; Carnivora; Felidae.
GCCUGGAUGGCUCAGUUGGUUGAACUUCUGACUUUGACUCAGGUCAUGAUCUCAAGGUCUGUGAGUUCGAGCCCCACGUCAGGCU